AGUGAACGCUGGCGGCGUGCCUAACACAUGCAAGUCGAACGAGAAACACCUUCGGGUGUGAGUAGAGUGGCGCACGGGUGCGUAACGCGUAUAGAACCUACCUUUUACUGAGGGAUAGCCUUUAGAAAUGAAGAUUAAUACCUCAUGGUAUUGAAUUUUGGCAUCAGAAUUUAAUUAAAGAUUUAUUGGUAAAAGAUGGCUAUGCGUCCUAUUAGCUAGAUGGUAAGGUAACGGCUUACCAUGGCAACGAUAGGUAGGGGUCCUGAGAGGGAGAUCCCCCACACUGGUACUGAGACACGGACCAG
RNAcentral lists this ribosomal RNA (305 nucleotides) under uncultured bacterium. Its description in RNAcentral is "bacterial SSU rRNA". It matches the Rfam family "Bacterial small subunit ribosomal RNA", at positions 29 to 334 of the family's 1533-position model. The record is from RNAcentral.